UAAGAUUAAAAUAUGUAGAUUGAAAGGUGAAAAUUUUGACUGUCCUGUUAUGGAACUAAAUUCAGUACUUUAAACACCAUAAGAUGGCUUAUUUGCUUGAAAAAUUUGAUCACUUUGUUAGUUUUAAUAAAAUUCCAGCAAUAGUUAUUUGGAGAAAAUGCCCAUAUUUUGCUUGAUUGUAGUGCCACAUGUUAAAUCUUUGUACGGUAUUUGAGUUUUGAUGUUGAUGGUGUUAAAAUGACUCGAAAUCGUCCAUUUGAAUCCUUUUAAUCAUAUUUUCUAGCAAGCUUUCAUUUGGUGAAAACAGUCUUUUUUUUUUAUAUUACUGUUUCAGUGAGUUCUUUGGAUUAUUUAGUUUUGAUGAUUAUUAGAUUAGAAAAGAUUUCAGUGAGUUCUUCGAAUUAUUUAGUUUUGAUGAUUAUUAGAUUAGAAAAGGGUUUAGGACAUGAGCAAUGGAAACAUAGAUAUGAUUUGAAAAUUGGGAUGAUGUUUUGUUUGGGAGUACCAACCUUCGAAAGCUGAUUUGUUCUUCUUUUACAGCGUGGAUGGCCCUUGGUUGCUGGCUCCGGGAACUUGGGAAUUCGAAAGCUUCGAAUCCGAUUCGAAAGUUUCGGCUAGAAGAGUUUUGUAUUUUCUGUUUAUUUUGGCCAAUUUUCUUUUGUAAUGGGAUUGUGUAAUAUGAUUGGGGCGUAGUGGUAAUGGGGUGUAGAGAGAUUGCUUGUGGUGGGAUUGGGGUUGGUGUUUCUCGUUGUACUCGGUAGGUCCUCUCUUUUUAUUCCAUCCUCCCCCCUCUCGAAAGAAAUUCGAUGGUCCUUUUAAAUGAACAAAGGGGCUCCCACCUCCAUUAAAAACCAAUCACAAUUCAACACCCAUGCUCUGACUUAAAAGAGAGGUGGCAGCUCUCUGACUGAUUACAGUAACGGGCCUGAUAUCGGGCCGAAAAUCAGGCCUGAAAUUGGACCCGAAAAAGAUCAAAAAUUCGAUGUAAAGUAGAGUUACGUAAUAAAAAACUCAAGUACCCGGACAAAAUUUGGUUACUACAGUUGCCCCUCUUUGUAUUACUUUUGUUUAUAAUCAAAAGUAGUACAAAGAUAGGAACCAAAUUUUGAAAGGUUUUUCGAAUCUAUCCUCACGUUUGUUUUUUAUUUGUCUUUUAU
This 1157-nucleotide long non-coding RNA is filed under the name Linum usitatissimum (flax). RNAcentral's name for it is "long non-coding RNA (LUSI_LNC003595)". Lineage: Eukaryota; Viridiplantae; Streptophyta; Magnoliopsida; Malpighiales; Linaceae. The record is from RNAcentral.